This 937-nucleotide ribosomal RNA is filed under the name uncultured bacterium. RNAcentral describes it as "bacterial SSU rRNA". It matches the Rfam family "Bacterial small subunit ribosomal RNA", at positions 8 to 916 of the family's 1533-position model. The record is from RNAcentral.
AGAGUUUGAUCCUGGCUCAGAAUGAACGCUGGCGGCGUGCUUAACACAUGCAAGUCGAACGAGAACACCCUAGCUUGCUGGGGUAAGUAAAGUGGCGAACGGGUGCGUAACGCGUGGAUAAUCUUCCUCUGAAUCCGAGAUAACCUGUCGAAAGGCGGGCUAAUAGCGGGUGAUAUCGAUUUUGCUCUGGCAGAAUUGAUUAAAGGUGGCCACUGAAUCAAGCUACUGUUUAGGGAUGAGUCCACGUACCAUUAGCUAGUUGGUAGGGUAAAAGCCUACCAAGGCGACGAUGGUUAGCUGGUCUGAGAGGAUGAUCAGCCACACUGGAACUGAAACACGGUCCAGACUCCUACGGGAGGCAGCAGUGAGGAAUUUUGCGCAAUGGGGGAAACCCUGACGCAGCAACGCCGCGUGAGUGAGGAAGGCCUUCGGGUCGUAAAGCUCUGUCGAGUGGGAAGAAUGUAUCUUAUGGAAAUACAGUAAGGUAAUGACGGUACCACAGAAGGAAGCACCGGCUAACUCCGUGCCAGCAGCCGCGGUAAUACGGAGGGUGCAAGCGUUAUUCGGAAUUAUUGGGCGUAAAGGGCGCGUAGGCGGCUUUAUAAGUCAGAUGUGAAAACCCUCGGCUUAACCGAGGAAGUGCAUUUGAAACUAUAAGGCUUGAGUAUGGGAGAGGAAAGCGGAAUUCCUGGUGUAGCGGUGAAAUGCGUAGAUAUCAGGAGGAACACCUGUGGCGAAAGCGGCUUUCUGGACCAAUACUGACGCUGAGGCGCGAAGGUGUGGGGAGCAAACAGGAUUAGAUACCCUGGUAGUCCACACAGUAAAACGGUGAUCACUAGGUGUAGUGGGUAUUGACCCCUGCUGCGCCGAAGCUAACGCAUUAAGUGAUCCGCCUGGGAAGUACGAUCGCAAGGUUAAAACUCAAAGGAAUUGACGG